AUGGUGCGUAUCCUGAAUGUCAAAACGACUCUCGGCAACGGAUAUCUCGGCUCUCGCAUCGAUGAAGAACGUAGCGAAAUGCGAUACUUGGUGUGAAUUGCAGAAUCCCGUGAACCAUCGAGUCUUUGAACGCAAGUUGCGCCCGAAGCCUUCGGGCCGAGGGCACGCCUGCCUGGGCG
RNAcentral lists this ribosomal RNA (179 nucleotides) under Ruellia salviifolius. Its description in RNAcentral is "Ruellia salviifolia 5.8S ribosomal RNA". The stretch from base 27 to 179 matches the Rfam family "5.8S ribosomal RNA". Rfam says of the family: 5.8S ribosomal RNA (5.8S rRNA) is a component of the large subunit of the eukaryotic ribosome. The record is from RNAcentral. Lineage: Eukaryota; Viridiplantae; Streptophyta; Magnoliopsida; Lamiales; Acanthaceae.